CAGACCUAAGAAAUGUUCUUUUUGGAACCGGCGUCCCACAUACAGCGGGUAAUUUAAGAGAGUGGGGCAAUAGAUAACAGAAUGACAGCGCAGUCCCCGGGGACCCUGCCAUGCCUGCGUUUCCCUCUGCCGUUUUGGAACGGCGCCUCCUGGUGGCUUGUUAAUAAAGCCGGCGCAGCUUUUGGGACCAUUUCUACAGCACGGGCUCUCGGCUCCCUAAUAGGGUCCUGGGAGGUCAAGUGACAC
Brienomyrus brachyistius is the source of this 246-nucleotide long non-coding RNA. RefSeq lists it as uncharacterized. The record is from RefSeq and is a predicted model, not a curated record. The transcript is spliced from 3 exons. NCBI's taxonomy places the organism in Eukaryota, Metazoa, Chordata, Actinopteri, Osteoglossiformes, Mormyridae.